GGGCUCGCUUCAGCAGCACAUAUACUAAAACUGGAACGAGACAGAGAAGAUUAGCAGGGCCCCUGUGCAUGGAUGACAUGCAGAUUCAUGAAGUGUUCCAAAUUUUU
This is a small nuclear RNA of Phacochoerus africanus (Common warthog), 107 nucleotides long. NCBI's taxonomy places the organism in Eukaryota, Metazoa, Chordata, Mammalia, Artiodactyla, Suidae. The record is from RefSeq and is a predicted model, not a curated record.